UUUGGGCGGCAAAGAAGAAUGGCGGCAAAGCAGCACAACACAAUGGCGGGGACCAGAAGCGAACAGAAGAGGAAGAACACGCCUAACCUGACUUAUAAUACAUCUUCACCCUUCACACAUUUCAGCUUACAUCAACGCAACGUCCAAUUGGAGCAAGCACAUGGCGGCCUGGACGACGUCAGCCAUCACCUGGACUUAGUCACUCUGAUGAAGAUGACUCCUGUGCAUGGCUGAGUACAGGAGAGCUGCAGAGGUACACGUCAUCCACUGCAGCGCCCUCUCCCACUGACCCCGCCCACAUGCGGUGCAGCCCUUUAGUAGACCAGUGCUGAUGACGGCGACUUAAUAAUCCCAAAGACAUGGUGGUGCUCUUGUUCCUCAGCUUUGCUGCCUGCACUGCUCUGCUCUCAGCAGGAGAGAAGGUCAAGCAGACUCCCAGUGACAUCAUCACGAAGACGGGAGAGACGGCCACCAUCCAAUGUAUUCAUAGCAUACCGAGCUACAACCAGAUGUUCUGGUACCAGAACCUGGACAUGCAGAUGAAGAUUCUGGGCUACAUGUACUCUGACAGCCCCAGCACAGAAGAUGGCGUGGACGUGGAGAUAAAAGGGAGCGCCGCAGAGAAUAAAAUGUGUCAGCUGAUCAUCCCAAAUCUCGACCUGAACAGCAGUGCACUUUAUUAUUGUGCAGCUAGCUACCACGCUGCAGCAUUAGGCUGCCUUAUCAAGUCAUACUUUGCUGCCUGCACUGCUCUGCUCUCAGGAGAGAAGGUCAAGCAGACUCCCAGUGACAUCAUCAAGAAGACGGGAGAGACGGCCACCAUCCAAUGUAUUCAUAGCAUACCGAGCUACGACGUGAUCCUCUGGUACAAGAACCUGGACGUGCAGAUGCAGCUCCUGGGCUACAUGUACAACAGACAAAGCUUCCCGGAGGAGGGUGUGGACGUGGAGAUAAAAGGGAGCUCCUCAGUGAAUGAAGAGUGCCGACUGAUCGUCCCAAAGCUCGACCUGAACAGCAGACUGAUUAAGAAGGAUCGAGAGCAAACAUCGCCCCUUUUCUUCGAUGCCUACGGAAAGGUGGCAAAGGCUGACUUCCUGUGUGACUUCCUGCCUCCUUCAGAAUCAAUACAAAGUCCCAAAGAGCGUCUUUGGGUGGCGACUUUCAACAUGAAGCCUCAGUCUUCGGCUCUCAUCGUCUUCAUCGCCCAUGUCCUCUGUACGGCAGGGGUUGAGCUGAGCCAAAACACAAAAGUUUUCCAGACACCUGACACCGUGUUCGGGAGAGAGAACGACCAAGUCACGCUGAGCUUCAGCCAUGCCAUCCAGAAUUACGACACCAUCCUGUGGUACCGACGCUCUGCCGAGACUGCCAACCUGGAGUUGAUCGCCUCUGUGAACUACAAAACAAGCUCGGUGGAGGCGCCUCUGGAGGGCCACUUCAACGUGAGCGGCGAUGAAGCUGAGCGAGUUCCGACGCCACCCAAGGUGACCUUGCUGAAACCUUGGGCAGAGGAGUGCGGCCAGCAGGGGAAGAAGAAGAAGAAGAAGAAGAAGACUUUGGUGUGCGUGGCCACGGGCUUCUACCCGGACCACGUCAGCGUGGUGUGGCAGGUCAACCAGGUGCAGGAGGACACAGGUGUGGCCACGGACGGGCGGGCCCUGCGAAGCGGGGACUACUACAGCAUCAGCAGCAGGCUGAGGGUCCCGAGCAGCCGCUGGUUGGACUCCCAAACCACCUUCAAGUGCGUGGUCCACUUCUUCGACGGGAAGGAAAGAGUGGAGUAUGCGGCGGAGGUGAGAGGAGAAAAAGGCGGGGAGCAGGAAGACGCCAUGACGCGAGACAACUUCCUGAAGAUCUGGCAGAGCGCCAAACUCUCCUACGCCGUCCUCAUCGCCAAGAGCUGCGUCUACGCCGCCUUCCUACUCUUCCUGCUCUGCAGGCUGACGGUCUCCUCGGGGAAAAGUGACUAACUUCCAUUAUUGUCUUCUUCAUUUAGGACAUUGAAAGACGGGACGUCCUCAUUCUUGCGAUCACCUUGCUCUGCGACAACUUCUUCCACUUUUGUCAUUUGGCAGCUUCUGAGUCAACAUGGUUUGGAGUCUCAGCUCUCAGCUCUCAGGAUGUGGUCGCUCGCUCUUGCCUGCAGCGCUCACAGGAACCACCAGAACUUUCCAUUCGCUGCGACCUAGCACCUGCACACACACACACACACACACACACACACACACACACACACACACACACACACACAAAUUAUUUUCUUUGUUGCCUUUUUUAAACCUCCAAAAAAUAAGCUUGUUGUGAAAAAUGAGUUGGAAUUUUACAAGAACAACUUAGAAUGUUGGCAGUGUUAUUAUAAACGUCGUCAUUUUACUCAACGCAACUCAAAAUUUUACAAGAAAAGUUGAACAUUUGUGCAAUAUUAUGAUAAAAGUUGCAAUUUUACUCAGUAACAGUCACAUUUUUACAAGAAAAGCUUACCAUUUUUUGCAAUUUUAUGAAAAGAGUUCACUCGACAAAAGUCACAAUUUUAUAAGAGAACUUUUUAAUUUUGGCAAUACUACAAUAAUAAUCGGUAUUUUGCUUGGCAAAAUGAUGACAAAAGUCAUCAUUUUACUAUAAGAAAUGUCACUAUUUUACAAGACCAACAGAAAAAUUGUCAAUAUUGUGACAAAAGGCAGAAUUUGAAAUGACAAAUGUCACCAUUUUUCAUUAAAAAGUUAUCAUUUCACAAGAAAAUAUUGCAAUAUUACAAAAACAGAAAUAAUAAAAGAAACUGUUCCCAAUUUUACAAGAAAUAAGUUGUGAGAAAAAGACUGCUUUUUAGUUUUUUGUUUGUAAUUGUUUUUUAAUCUUCUUUAUUUACUUUGUUAUUACAGUAUUUCUCUAUAUGCAUAUUUAUUUUUAAAAAAAAUUAAUUUUGGUCAAAGGGGGCGCAUUUUAAUUUCUUACACACACUUGUUAUUUCAUAUGUUGACCAGAGGGGGAACACUUUUAAAAGCGACACACACACACACACACACAAAUUCUUGCUUGUAUUAACUUUUUGAAUCCUCCGAAAAAUAUAAAAUAAGCUUGUUGUAAAAAAUGAGUUGUAAUUUCACAAGAAAAACUUAGAAUGUUGGCAGUGUUAUAAUUAAAGUCGUCAUUUUACUCAACGCAAGUCAAAAUUUUACAAGAGAAACUGAAAAUUUGUGCAAUAUUAUGAUAAAAGUUGCAAUUUUACUCGACAGUCGCAAUUUUACAAGAAAAGCUUAGAAUUUGGGCAAUUUAAUGAAAAGAGUCGUAACUUUACUUAGCACAAGUCACAAUUUUAUAGGAGAACUUUUUAAUUUUGUCAAUACUACAAUAAUAAUCACAAUUUUGCUUGGCAAAAUGAUAACUAAAGUCAUCAUUUUACUAUAAGAAAUGUCACUAUUUUACAAGACCAACAGAAAAAUUGGCAAUAUUGUGACAAAAUGCAGAAUUUGAAAUGACAAAUGUCACCAUUUUGCAUUAAAAAGUAAUCAUUUCACAAGAAAAUAUUGCAAUAUUACAAAAACCGAAAGAAUAUUAGAAACUGUUCCCAAUUUUAUAACAAAUAAGUUGUGCUAAAAAGACUGCUUUUAAGUUAUUUAUUUAUUUUUGUGAAAUUUUUGUUUGUAAUUGUUUUUUAAUCUUCUUUAUUUACUUCAAGUUAUUACAGUAUUUCUCUAUAUACAUAUUUAUUUAUUUUAGCCAAAGGGGAUGCAUUUCAAUUUCUUACACACACUUGUUAUUUCAUAUGUUGACCAGAGGGGGAACACUUUUAAAAGCGACACACACUCACACACACACACAAUUUCUUGUAUUUAUUAACUUUUUGAAACCUCCGAAAAAUAUAAAAUAAGCUUGUUGUAAAAAAUGAGUUGUAAUUUCACAAGAAAAAGGUUACAAUUUCACAAGAAAAACUUAGAAUGUUGGCAGUGUUAUAAUUAAAGUCAUCAUUUUACUCAACGCAACUCAAAAUUUUACAAGAAAAACUGAAAAUGUGUGCAAUAUUAUGAUAAAAGUUGCAAUUUUACUCAACGACAGUCGCAAUUUUACAAGAAAAGCUUAGAAUUUGGGCAAUUUAAUGAAAAGAGUCGUAACUUUACUUAGCACAAGUCACAAUUUUAUAGGAGAACUUUUUAAUUUUGGCAACACUACAAUAAUAAUCACAAUUUUACUUGGCAAAAUGAUAACUAAAGUCAUCAUUUUACUAUAAAAAAUGUCACUAUUUUACAAGACCAACAGAAAAAUUGUCAAUAUUGUGACAAAAGGCAGAAUUUGAAAUGACAAAUGUCACCAUUUUGCAUUAAAAAGUAAUCAUUUCACAAGAAAAUAUUGCAAUAUUACAGAAACCAAAAUAAUUUUAGAAACUGUUCCCAAUUUUAUAACAAAUAAGUUGUGCUAAAAAGACUGCUUUUAAGUUAUUUAUUUAUUUUUGUGAAAUUUUUGUUUGUAAUUGUUUUUUAAUCUUCUUUAUUUACUUCAAGUUAUUACAGUAUUUCUCUAUAUACAUAUUUAUUUAUUUUAGCCAAAGGGGAUGCAUUUCAAUUUCUUACACACACUUGUUAUUUCAUAUGUUGACCAGAGGGGGAACACUUUUAAAAGCGACACACACACACACACACACACACAAUUUCUUGUAUUUAUUAACUUUUUGAAACCUCCGAAAAAUAUAAAAUAAGCUUGUUGUAAAAAAUGAGUUGUAAUUUCACAAGAAAAACUUAGAAUGUUGGCAGUGUUAUAAUUAAAGUCAUCAUUUUACUCAACGAAAGUCAAAAUUUUACAAGAAAAACUGAAAAUUUGUGCAAUAUUAUGAUAAAAGUUGCAAUUUUACUCAACGACAGUCGCAAUUUUACAAGAAAAGCUUCGAAUUUGGGCAAUUUAAUGAAAAGAGUCGUAACUUUACUUAGCACAAGUCACAUUUUUACAGGAGAACUUUUUAAUUUUGUCAAUACUACAAUAAUAAUCACAAUUUUGCUUGGCAUAAUGAUAACUAAAGUCAUCAUUUUACUAUAAAAAAUGUCACUAUUUUACAAGAACAACAGAAAAAUUGUCAAUAUUGUGACAAAAGGCAGAAUUUGAAAUGACAAAUGUCACCAUUUUGCAUUAAAAAGUAAUAAUUUCACAAGAAAAUAUUGCAAUAUUACAAAAACCGAAAGAAUAUUAGAAACUGUUCCCAAUUUUAUAACAAAUAAGUUGUGCUAAAAAGACUGCUUUUAAGUUAUUUAUUUUUGUGAAAUUUUUGUUUGUAAUUGUUUUUUAAUCUUCUUUAUUUACUUCAAGUUAUUACAGUAUUUCUCUAUAUACAUAUUUAUUUAUUUUAGCCAAAGGGGAUGCAUUUCAAUUUCUUACACACACUUGUUAUUUCAUAUGUUGACCAGAGGGGGAACACUUUUAAAAGCGACACACACACACACACACAAAUUCUUGCUUGUAUUAACUUUUUGAAUCCUCCGAAAAAUAUAAAAUAAGCUUGUUGUAAAAAAUGAGUUGUAAUUUCACAAGAAAAACUUAGAAUGUUGGCAGUGUUAUAAUUAAAGUCGUCAUUUUACUCAACGCAACUGAAAAUUUUACAAGAAAAACUGAAAAUUUGUGCAAUAUUAUGAUAAAAGUUGCAAUUUUACUCAACGACAGUCGCAAUUUUACAAGAAAAGCUUAGAAUUUGGGCAAUUUAAUGAAAAGAGUCGUAACUUUACUUAGCACAAGUCACAUUUUUACAGGAGAACUUUUUAAUUUUGGCAAUACUACAAUAAUAAUCACAAUUUUACUUGGCAAAAUGAUAACUAAAGUCAUCAUUUUACUAUAAAAAAUGUCACUAUUUUACAAGAACAACAGAAAAAUUGUCAAUAUUGUGACAAAAGGCAGAAUUUGAAAUGACAAAUGUCACCAUUUUGCAUUAAAAAGUAAUCAUUUCACCAGAAAAUAUUGCAAUAUUACAAAAACCAAAAUAAUUUUUGAAACUGUUCCCAAUUUUAUAACAAAUAAGUUGUGCUAAAAAGACUGCUUUUAAGUUAUUUAUUUUUGUGAAAUUUUUGUUUGUAAUUGUUUUUUAAUCUUCUUUAUUUACUUCAAGUUAUUACAGUAUUUCUCUAUAUACAUAUUUAUUUAUUUUAGCCAAAGGGGAUGCAUUUCAAUUUCUUACACACACUUGUUAUUUCAUAUGUUGACCAGAGGGGGAACACUUUUAAAAGCGACACACACACAAUUUCUUGUAUUUAUUAACUUUUUGAAACCUCCGAAAAAUAUAAAAUAAGCUUGUUGUAAAAAAUGAGUUGUAAUUUCACAAGAAAAACUUAGAAUGUUGGCAGUGUUAUAAUUAAAGUCGUCAUUUUACUCAACGCAACUCAAAAUUUUACAAGAAAAACUGAAAAUUUGUGCAAUAUUAUGAUAAAAGUUGCAAUUUUACUCAACGACAGUCGCAAUUUUACAAGAAAAGCUUAGAAUUUGGGCAAUUUAAUGAAAAGAGUCGUAACUUUACUUAGCACAAGUCACAAUUUUAUAGGAGAACUUUUUAAUUUUGGCAAUACUACAAUAAUAAUCACAAUUUUGCUUGGCAUAAUGAUAACUAAAGUCAUCAUUUUACUAUAAGAAAUGUCACUAUUUUACAAGACCAACAGAAAAAUUGGCAAUAUUGUGACAAAAGGCAGAAUUUGAAAUGACAAAUGUCACCAUUUUGCAUUAAAAAGUAAUAAUUUCACAAGAAAAUAUUGCAAUAUUACAAAAACAGAAAUAAUAUAAGAAACUGUUCCCAAUUUUACAAGAAAUAAGUUGUGAGAAAAAGACUGCUUUUUAGUUUUUUGUUUGUAAUUGUUUUUUAAUCUUCUUUAUUUACUUUUUUAUUACAGUAUUUCUCUAUAUGCAUAUUUAUUUAAAAAAAAAUUAAUUUUGGUCAAAGGGGGCGCAUUUUAAUUUCUUACACACACUUGUUAUUUCAUAUGUUGACCAGAGGGGGAACACUUUUAAAAGCGACACACACACACACACGCACACAAAUUUUUGCUUGUAUUAACUUUUUGAAACCUCCGAAAAAUAUAAAAUAAGCUUGUUGUAAAAAAUGAGUUUUAAUUCCACAAGAAAAAGGUUACAAUUUCACAAGAAAAACUUAGAAUGUUGGCAGUGUUAUAAUUAAAGUCGUCAUUUUACUCAACGCAACUCAAAAUUUUACAAGAAAAACUGAAAAUUUGUGCAAUAUUAUGAUAAAAGUUGCAAUUUUACUCAACGACAGUCGCAAUUUUACAAGAAAAGCUUAGAAUUUGGGCAAUUUAAUGAAAAGAGUCGUAACUUUACUUAGCACAAGUCACAUUUUUACAGGAGAACUUUUUAAUUUUGUCAAUACUACAAUAAUAAUCACAAUUUUACUUGGCAAAAUGAUAACUAAAGUCAUCAUUUUACUAUAAAAAAUGUCACUAUUUUACAAGAACAACAGAAAAAUUGGCAAUAUUGUGACAAAAGGCAGAAUUUGAAAUGACAAAUGUCACCAUUUUGCAUUAAAAAGUAAUCAUUUCACAAGAAAAUAUUGCAAUAUUACAAAAACCAAAAUAAUUUUUGAAACUGUUCCCAAUUUUAUAACAAAUAAGUUGUGCUAAAAAGACUGCUUUUAAGUUAUUUAUUUUUGUGAAAUUUUUGUUUGUAAUUGUUUUUUAAUCUUCUUUAUUUACUUCAAGUUAUUACAGUAUUUCUCUAUAUACAUAUUUAUUUAUUUAUUUUAGCCAAAGGGGAUGCAUUUCAAUUUCUUACACACACUUGUUAUUUCAUAUGUUGACCAGAGGGGGAACACUUUUAAAAGCGACACACACACACACACACACACACACACACACACACACACACACACACACACACACACACACAAUUUCUUGUAUUUAUUAACUUUUUGAAACCUCCGAAAAAUAUAAAAUAAGCUUGUUGUAAAAAAUGAGUUGUAAUUUCACAAGAAAAAGGUUACAAUUUCACAAGAAAAACUUAGAAUGUUGGCAGUGUUAUAAUUAAAGUCAUCAUUUUAUUCAACGAAAGUCCAAAUUUUACAAGAAAAACUGAAAAUUUGUGCAAUAUUAUGAUAAAAGUUGCAAUUUUACUCAACGACAGUCGCAAUUUUACAAGAAAAGCUUAGAAUUUGGGCAAUUUAAUGAAAAGAGUCGUAACUUUACUUAGCACAAGUCACAAUUUUACAGGAGAACUUUUUAAUUUUGGCAAUACUACAAUAAUAAUCACAAUUUUGCUUGGCAUAAUGAUAACUAAAGUCAUCAUUUUACUAUAAAAAAUGUUUCUAUUUUAAAAGAACAACAGAAAAAUUGGCAAUAUUGUGACAAAAUGCAGAAUUUGAAAUGACAAAUGUCACCAUUUUGCAUUAAAAAGUAAUAAUUUCGCAAGAAAAUAUUGUAAUAUUACAAAAACAGAAAUAAUAUAAGAAACUGUUCCCAAUUUUUUAAUAAAUAAGUUGUGAGAAAAAGACUGCUUUUUAGUUUUUUUGUUUGUAAUUGUUUUUUAAUCUUCUUUAUUUACUUCAAGUUAUUACAGUAUUUCUCUAUAUACAUAUUUAUUUAUUUUUUUUAAAAUUAAUUUUAGCCAAAGGGGAUGCAUUUCAAAUUCUUACACACACUUGUUAUUUCAUAUGUUGACCAGAGGGGAAUACUUUUAAAAGUGACACACACACAAACACACACACAAACACACACACGUUGCAUGGAAAGUGACGCACAUGUAGCGGAUGUUUGCGCGAGUGCGGUGCAGGAAACAGGAAGUGUAGCGGUGCACUAAUUGUUCUCAUCAGCAGAUUGGGGGUUGGUGGAUCAGUGGGGGGUGACCAGAUGAAAGGGUUGUUGUUGUUGUUGUUGUUGUUGUGGAAAGAAGUGUGGUAAUAAAUUCACCGGCUCAGAAUGUAGCUUAGUUGAGUCUUUAUUUGAAGGGACAAUGCAAAGAGACAUUAAGAUAUGUUCUGCACCAGAUUAUAGCUCAAUUAUUCAUUUCUAUCUGCAGUUACCUAAAUUAAAGCUAUACAAAAACAUGCAAAAAAAUAUACUAUAGCAUGUCAUCACAUUUAAAAAAGUCAUAAAAUGCCUUUUCAUUGACACAUACUUAUAAAACAUUACAAGCACCCCUCCUUUACAUCAUAACAAGACGAUACACGCUCUUGUUCACAUCUGUCGUCAUUUGUAAAAAAUAACCAUGAAUUUUAAUAAAUAUAAUUCCUACAGUUGACCAGGGGUGUCCAAAUGUUUUCCGACUAAGGGCCACAUACUUAUACAUUACAAGCACCCCUCCUUUACAUCAUAACAAGACGAUACAUGCUCUUGUUCACAUCUGUCAUCAUUUGUAAAAAUAACCAUGAAUUGUAAUAAAUAAAAUUCCUACAGUUGACCAGGGGUGUCCAAAUGUUUUCCAACUAAGGGCCACAUACUUAUACAUUAGAAGCACCCCUCCUUUACAUCAUAACUAGACAAUACACGCUUUUGUUCACAUCUGUCAUCAUUUGUAAAAAUAACCAUGAAUUUUAAUAAAUAAAAUUCCUACAGUUGACCAGGGGUGUCCAAAUGUUUUCCAACUAAGGGCCACAUACUUAUACAUUACAAGCACCCCUCCUUUACAUCAUAACUAGACAAUACAUGCUCUUGUUCACAUCUGUCAUCAUUUGUAAAAAUAACCAUGAAUUUUAAUAAAUACAAUUCCUACAGUUGA
This is a non-coding RNA of Nerophis ophidion (straightnose pipefish), 9684 nucleotides long. The record is from the annotation of a RefSeq genome assembly. NCBI's taxonomy places the organism in Eukaryota, Metazoa, Chordata, Actinopteri, Syngnathiformes, Syngnathidae.